CCUCACUUUCGAUCAAUUGUUUGCUCCAAGAGCUAACGUUGGAUGCAAAAAGUGGGUUCCUGUGUUGCAUACCUACUGCGGAGGAAAUUUGGGCCUUUAGUUUGUCCCUUCCAUCACAACGUCCUUUUGGAUGCUCGGUUGGACUAGAUAGUAGGGCUCGUGUUCCAAGAACAUCAUCUCAUUUGAUUGUUCGGAUGGACCAUGAGUGGCUACUUGUUCUCUCGGAUGCGGAACACUCUUCAUGGGUAUGGGGUCAUCGGCUCUUGUUCCCAAAUCUCUAAGCGUUUGUCGCUUUUACUGGAAUGACGCUCGUGCCUUGUCUUUGACCAAAGUGGAACUCUCGGGCUUCACAAUGGAUCAUGCUCGGCAGACGUCGUGAAGGAAUGCUACCUGGUUG
Molecule: unclassified non-coding RNA, 397 nt
Filed under: Osbornia octodonta
Lineage: Eukaryota; Viridiplantae; Streptophyta; Magnoliopsida; Myrtales; Myrtaceae
Description: partial external transcribed spacer
Source: RNAcentral